Molecule: ribosomal RNA, 253 nt
Filed under: uncultured bacterium
Lineage: Bacteria
Description: partial 16S ribosomal RNA
Rfam family: Bacterial small subunit ribosomal RNA
Source: RNAcentral
UACGUAGGUGGCAAGCGUUGUCCGGAAUUAUUGGGCGUAAAGCGCGCGCAGGCGGCCUCUUAAGUCUGAUGUGAAAGCCCACGGCUCAACCGUGGAGGGUCAUUGGAAACUGGGGGGCUUGAGUGCAGAAGAGGAGAGCGGAAUUCCACGUGUAGCGGUGAAAUGCGUAGAGAUGUGGAGGAACACCAGUGGCGAAGGCGGCUCUCUGGUCUGUAACUGACGCUGAGGCGCGAAAGCGUGGGGAGCGAACAGG